Long non-coding RNA from Equus asinus (donkey), 1600 nucleotides. Lineage: Eukaryota; Metazoa; Chordata; Mammalia; Perissodactyla; Equidae. The record is from Ensembl.
UCCCAAAGCCCCCCAGUAGUUAGUUGUAUACUCUAGUUGUGGGUCCUUCUAGUUGUGGCAUGUGGGACGCCGCCUCAGCAUGGCCUGAUGAGCAGGGCCAUGUCCGCGCCCAGGAUCUGAACCCGUGAAACCCUGGGCCGCAGAAGCUGAGCACGAAAACUUAACCACUCGGCCACAGGGCCGGCCCCUAGAAUACUUUUUUUAAGCUCUAACAAGAGUAAUUAGACCACAGUGAGGUCAGGGGUGGGAGUGUGUGAGCUAGUUGCCUCCAUUUGGGGCAGACAUGCAGGUGGUCAGUCCUCUGCUUCUGAGAGAUUUGGAACCAGUUUACUGUCCCCUUAGGUGCAUAAGGGAAAGGCUCACACAUCUGGGGCCUCUCGUGUGUGUACAUACGCUUGCACACCUGUACACAUAGUGUUUGAAGUUACACAAACUUAAGACACAAAGGGCCAGAGUGUUGCACAGAGGUGAUAAACAAAGGGGGUGGAACCUGCCUCAGAGGGGUGUUGCGGGGCCAGGGAGGAGGCUGAGCGCUGGUGCCUGACUUGGAGAUACAUGCAUUUUUAACAAAUAAGUGAGGGCAUACAGAGCACAUCCUUUCUGGUGGACACCAAUUGGCAGCUUUCUGGUAAUUCACGAGCAGCAGCUCUCCAGCAUCCCACAGUGACCUGGGGAAGUUCCAGAAGGCUGGUGUGCGCCAUUUCCAGGGUGGCAUUGCCACUUGCUCCGGAAGCCCUCCCCAGGGGAGCUCUCGAGCCGUGCUGGUGGAGAGCGCAGACUGGAGCAUGCUCAACAGUUAAGCCCUUCCCAUCAGCAACAACAGUGAGGCUGGAAAUGGGAGGGCACUGAGCUCAAAUGUCUUUCCCUUUGCAGGGGAGAGAGCUAAGCUCUCACUAAUGGUGUUCUUCAAAUAAGCACCUUCACUUCAAUUCCUGAAAAUGAUGGUUGAUGAGAGAAUUUGAGUUUGACGCACUAUUUCCCCGUGAGUGAGUCUUCAGUCCUCCCAGGAGAGCCCAGCCACAGAGCCCAGGGCAGCACUGCCGGCUGGCGACUCCUCGCCCCGCCCCUGAGUGCCCGGCCCGCAGAGGGGCAUGUUUCCUCUCUGCACAGGGGAGCUUCUCCCUCCCCUGCCACUCCACUCGGCCUUCUGCUGAGCAGCAAGCACAUCUGGGUUUCACAUGCUACUUCCCCAGCUUUGGGAAUCCAGCCAUCCUAAGGGUUGACCCUGCAGAGGCGAGACAUCAAUGCUGAGAAUGACCGAGUCACUGGAGGUGACACAUGACAAAGUUGUAUAUAAAUAUCAUCCUAUCUCACCGUUACUGAAGUAAACCUAAACCGUGUCGACAAGCGAGUCACUGAUGCGCACAGAAGCCGCGACCCGUGUAGUACAUCUCUGCUGUGCAAACGUUCGUGAAUGGAACUGCACCUGUGUUUUUAUAAGUUGGGGAUCAUUUGUUGUUUUACAACAACAAAAUUUACUGCAUUUAAGUGGUUUUUAUGUAAUAGAAAUCAUGCAAAAUAGUGAAGGAUUUAAAAUAUGUGUAUGAUAUACGUAAAUGUACAAACUUUAGAAAGAAAUAAAUCCAACAAGUUUCAAUCA